UCGCUGUUGGCUCGAGCUGUUGGGAAGAGGGAGGAGUCCCGAGACAGGGUGAAGGCGCAGGCCGUGCCUGGUGAGGCGGCGCCGCCGGCCAUGGGACGCUGGACCUCGGGGAGCCCCAUCCCAGGCCCGCGCCCAAAUUCUUGAGCAAGGGAGGAUAGAUCGACGAUGGCGCAUCACAUAAGGGAAUGGGAGAUCGAGGAGAAGGGAGACGAGGGUGGGUGGUGGCUUGCAGCAUGGGGCGGUCACGUCCAAUGAGGGUGGUGUUCUGUGGAUCUGGUGCCCCCUCUCCUUUGGCGACCUCCUCCUCAAGCGUUUCAGGUGAAAUGCGGUGAGGAGCAAUGCACACGCAGCCAAUGGAUGGGAUGGUGCUGCUACUGGGCAGUCUAGGACAUCCAGUGGUUGGAGUGGGGGCUCUGUUCUGUGAGCUGACCGCUCCGUCACGAACAAGCAACCAUCUGCGGCCUUGCAAGGGUCGACACCGCCAUUGCCGCCUCAUCUGUCCUUUCCAGAUGCCAUGGUCUCCUCUCCUCUACAGAGACCUCCUCAUCUGCUGCCGAUGGCUGUGAGUUCACGGCUGCUCCGGAGCUCCAACGAGCCAAGCUGUGUGCAAAUCCGACAAAGAAGAGAAAAGGAAGAAUAUUGAGGAAGAGUUUUGGUGAAGAAGAACAAGUGGAAGGAUCGGUUUUUAUGGCAUGCACUACAAAGGAGAGAAGUGGACCAUGUGAACGUAGUACAACAUUGUUGUUAGUUCGCGCAGUCGAGGUCUGCUCAGGAAGACACAGUUCGACCGAACAGCUGUUGUGUUUUCCCAGUUGUUUGCAAAUCUGACGAAAAGGAGCAAAGAAAGAAUAUUGAGGAAUAUUUAGGUAAAGAAGAACAAGUGCAUUUAUGUUGCUUCCUGCAAGGUCAAUGAUAUGGUGCCAGCUGGAAUUCAUAUUCAAGCUAAUACAGUGACUAAAUUUGGCGAGCAGCGAGUGCCUGAUCAUGAUCUGCGGGAGGGUAACGGUUAUUAUAAUAAUUGAGUGUACCCAAUGGAGGCUGCAUUACAUAAUUAAUGGGAGGGUAAGGGCGUCCAUAGUUUUCAUUGAACUACUGCAGUUUCCAACUGAAUUUUCAUUUGCAGAUUCCGAAGAACGGAGUUCUAGGUUCUAACCAUGUCGCUUCCAUUUGUUGUAUUCUGAGAAUAAAUCUUGUUCUAUAUCCCUGCAUUGUUAUCCACCGGACUCUAAAACAAAAAUCAAUGUUUGCACAUCCAGACAAGGUAAACUUAUGAUGAGUGGACUCCACAAUAUAAAUUGACAUUCUAUGUCAGUGUAAGUGAGUCUAUACUCACCGAGGAACAAUUUGAUCUGAUAACUAUGAAAUGUUCUUUGUUGGUUUUGGUUCUAUAAGAUCAAGAUCUAUAAUUAUAUUCACUUUACAUGUUAACAUGUUGUAAAUAAAUUGUUAUCUAAUAGUCAGCAAUCUGUGGGAGCUUUUCCUCACAGUAGGGUGUGUUGUUGAUGUUUUCUUGAUCUAUCAGUGAACUUGUAUCAUGUGGCUAAUAUGUAUAUACAACGAGACUUUGUUUACGUUCGCCCUUUUUGUUCUGUGCGUGCUUGGUGAAUUGCUUACCCGGUGUGUGGCAGAAAAUAGAAAGUCGAGUUUGAUUUCUGUUGUGGCAUUGCAAUAGAUGACCAACCUUUUAUGUUAUGUGCUUUAGCUUCUUUUCAAAUUUUAGAGUGACAACCGUUUGACAAAGGGUGAAAUUUUUGGUAGGGCCUAGGUGGAAAGUAUUUGAUUAGUUUUUUGAGAGACUGAACUAUAUUUUUAAUUCUGUUUUGUGCUAAUGAACUACUUUUUAAUCACUUUCUUAUGAACGUAUAAAAUAAAUUACAUUGUAAUGUAUCAUGUUGUAUUACAUGAAAAGGUGUUGAAAAGGACGCAAUCCAUCAAAUAUAUGUAGUAUGAUAUAGGAUCCUCGCUUUAUUGUAUCCAUAUGUUGUAAGGAGAUUAUCUUGUCCAUUCAUUAUUCUUAUUAUUUGUCCUUUUCACAUUAAUCGUGAGUAGACUUGGGCCAUUGCAUUUGAUGUUGAUCUUAUUUGCAUAUUAGUCCAAGAACAACAAUUGCUCUUUGUUGUGGCAUUGCUGGAGAAAUACAAAUGUAUAUACCCGUUUCCCACUGUCCAGUCGAGGAGAUCCCUGAGGCAUUUGAUUCUUGUGGGACUCCAACACAUCUUACAGGAUCAUCAACAAGUGGCCGGGCCUCUGCAUUACUCAGAAAAGCUUCCGACAGUUUCCGAUUCAAAAGAAAACAAAUAAGAAAGGAUGCAUUGAUUAUUUUGGGUUGAUCUUGUUUGAAUUUCCAGUGAAAUUCAAACUUGAGACCUUACUCGAAGUAUUUAGUUCCAAUGGAACUAAAUGAAUUUCCCAAAAUGCCUCUUUGGGUAUUAGUUGCAUUUUUAUUUGGAUCCUUGUAUAUUCAAACAGUUUCUGAUUCAAAAGACAACAACAGUGAGAAGAUAAAAUGAUUAAGCAACACCCAAAUAGUGGUCGCAGCAGAUCUCUCUCUCAUUCUCUUUCCAGUUUGGUUGACCAUUCUUUCUGUUCUUAGGUCUUUGAUCUGCUUUCUUCUUCAAUGAAGUAGACCACGAUCUCCUACACAUUCUGCCUUGCUCCCCGGGGCAACCUUCUAUGUUUUAGAUCCACUCUUUUUUUUUGAGAGAUAAUGGGCAGCCUCAUUCAUACAUUUCAGAACUGUUCAGUACAAACUAUAUUCCUGAUAACUUCAGGAGAUACAUUAAACCAGCAUGACCCUUCAUCAUGUUCAGCAGACUUUGCUAGAACAUGUGCUGCCUCAUUACAACUUCGACUAACAUGAGUAAAACAACAGGAUAAGAACCUUGGAGCCCUACUCUUAAUAUCAAAAACUACAGCACCUGUGUGAGACCUGUCAUCCACUUUACUCUUAAUUUUGUUGAUCAAACUGGCACAAUCUGUCUCCACAAGGAUUUUCUGGAAACUGGAAUCUUCAGCAAAAAACAACGCAUGGCGCAUUGCAAUAGCUUCACCCAGCUCCGGAUUAUCAACAUGAUGAAUAAACCCUCUGCUUGCUGCCAGCACCAGACCUAGAUGAUUUCGGAUCACAACACCAAUGCCCAUGCGUUUAGUCUGGGCAAAAAUCGCAGCAUCAACAUUGACCUUGACCGACUCAGCCGGCGGCGGAGACCACUUCGGGAUUGACACCUGGUGCUCACGCCUAUUGGAGCCAGUCGACCUGAAAUUGUGCAAUAAGAUGAAAUCGACAUAAGCUCUGGUGUGUGCCGACGGAAUUCACUCUUUUCGUUCUGGUUUUAACUAUGCUUAUGAUUACCUGUCUUGCCGAAAUUCACUUGCCAUACGCAAGUCUUCUGGUGUGUGCCGACGGAAAUUAUAUUUGCGCAAUCAGAUUAGAGUAGAUAAUUUCCUAACCUUGAUUCCUUAUCGAUUGCUUACUAAAAUGUAUGUACAGUUAUUUCAUUCCAUGCUUACAAUCCACAAAGUUAAUUCUUGCGAUUUACUUCCGCUAUCAAAAUAUGUUUGAUUUCCUAUACCCGUAGGUACCAUUGUAUACCUGAAUCCAUGUGAUUUCAUGUCUCUAUGGUUAUAUUGAUUAUCUUGUAAUCUCAUGUCAUCAGUUUUCUCAGGGGUUAUUAGAUUCUUAACGGUGCUAAAACUUUGUUGGUAAUCAUUCUUAAUAUACACUCCAUUUACAGCUUGUGCCUAACCUUUGGAUUUAUCUUCUUUCAAAGUGAUCCUCAUUGGGCUGGUUGAGCUAUCCAACAAGUUUCUAGCUGAGGCAAUUUGAAAAGCUCGAGCUCCCUAAACCAGUCUACUUCGUACGUAGGCUUGAGGAGGGUGGAUAUGUGUCGGUAGUUGAGUUUUACCCCACAAAGGAGCAUUUCUGCAUUUCAGCAGAACGAAUUGCGCUGUCAGAUCCGUAUGUAAGGAUGGGGUGUUAUCGAUGAAUCAGGAUGGGGUGUUAUCGAUCAAUCACGCGGCUGUUCGAGCCCUCAGGUUCAUGGAACGGAGAGAGCACAAGGUGCUUCUUGAUUUCAACUAUGAGCAUCUGCAAGAAGAAAAAAAAAGGCAUAUGCAAGCAUCACAAACAAGCUACUCGAAAAAGGAAAAGAAAUUAAGAAGCACAAGAAGACCAUCAAACAGAUGACUAGGGAAGGGUGCGAGUAUGUGGAUGAAGUGUGUGUUGCACCAAACGAAAUCCAUUAUCAUGCUGGAGCUACCUACUGCUUCUUCAAUGACAGACAUGCUCUUCUGGAGAUUCAUGAUGUCGUGGUUGAACUUCAAAGCAUUACAAGCGCGGCAUGUCUCUCACUGCAGCAGAAAGGUAUAUACCCAUAUGAUCCAAGCUCAGACUCAAGUUGUGGUGUGGAUUUUGUUAAUGAGAUGGGUGAUGGCUACAACUAUGAGUGAUCACCGUAGGCAUAGGCUUACUCUUAGGCAGUCUGGUAUGCAUACUAAACGCAGCUAUGAACACUAUGCGUUGUACUGACUUUGAUGCAUCUCUCUCCAUGUAACUUUGCUUAUCAUAAACUAAUCUCAAGCCUUUCUUUUGGCCUAUGAACCUACCUUUAAUGUAAUAGAUAACGCUAUCAUACAUAAAUAUCUACUUCCUUGCUUCAAAGAUUUAAUGACUGGUCUCUAAAUAUUCUUUUCUUCCAUGGUUCGCUCUCGCCCUUUGCGCCAUUGGCGCAACGGGACGGGCUCCCCUGCAUCCUCCUCCUCGCGGGCGAGGACGACGCCUCCGGAGUGAGCUGAGGGUGGGGGGCGGGUCAAGGCUGCUGUUGGCGGCCUGGAUGCAGGCGAUGGUGGCGGCCGGCGGGGGUCUGGCGGGCGAGGGAAGGAGCAGCAAGACUGGUGAUGGGCCAAGCGCCACCAGAGGAGGGGGAAGGGGCGACUUCGUGCUUCGCAACAACAGUUCGUGUCCAUGAAAAAAUUGUGGUGGUGAUGGUUGAUCUAAGUAUCAGAUUGGUUAUAUGGAAAUGGGGCUUUACUUCCGGAGAUGUUCCCAAUGAAGGAGCUUCGAGGCGAGCACUCCAAUGAUGUAGUUUUGUAUAUGGCAUAAUCUUUAAUGAAGAUGAUCGGGAAAGCUCAAGGACAGCCCCUGGUUGAGGAGGCCGAGGAAAGCCCACAGUCGAGGAGGGGAUGCUCGGCACAGCUAGGGUUUGGGUGGGGGUUGGUUCCAACACCGAUGAUGACAUUGGCCAACAGCGGCACAUCCCUCGAUUUCCAUAACCUCACACCAUGAGUAUGAGGUUGCAUAGGCAGCUGGAGCUUGUCCCCUGCGCCCUUCUCUGGUCGUAGAUAAAACUGUCAUGUUGCUUUAGAUUUAAGUGGCCAGGUCUUGAUAGUAGGCAUGGCUGAACGCGCCUUUUGUUGAAUUUGGACACCAUCUAUAAUAUAGCUAUUUGUUUAGGAGCUUGAACAAGUCUCGGUAUAUGUUAAUUUUGCAGAACUGAAUGUUAGCACAGAAUUGUAUGAGUCUCGGUCCAGUCAAGGUUUCUUUGUCUGCAAUUGAAAAUUAUGUGAGAACUGGGUUUUUCCUCCAAUACCCCAAUUUCAGCAGAUAUUGAAAACCUCGAGAGUUUGGUGCCAUUUGUCACGCUUGUAUACUUAAU
This 5654-nucleotide ribosomal RNA is filed under the name Triticum aestivum (bread wheat). RNAcentral describes it as "partial small subunit ribosomal RNA". Lineage: Eukaryota; Viridiplantae; Streptophyta; Magnoliopsida; Poales; Poaceae. The record is from RNAcentral.